RNAcentral lists this ribosomal RNA (793 nucleotides) under uncultured archaeon. RNAcentral's name for it is "bacterial SSU rRNA". It matches the Rfam family "Archaeal small subunit ribosomal RNA", at positions 85 to 879 of the family's 1478-position model. The record is from RNAcentral.
ACGGCUCAGUAACRCGUAGUCAAUCUACCCUAUGGACGGGAAUAACCUCGGGAAACUGAGAAUAAUGCCCGAUAGAACAUUAUGCCUGGAAUGGUUUAUGUUUCAAAUGAUUUAUCGCCAUAGGAUGGGACUGCGGCCUAUCAGUUUGUUGGUGAGGUAAUGGCCCACCAAGACUAUUACAGGUACGGGCUCUGAGAGGAGUAGCCCGGAGAUGGGUACUGAGACACGGACCCAGGCCCUAUGGGGCGCAGCAGGCGAGAAAACUUUGCAAUGUGCGAAAGCACGACAAGGUUAAUCCGAGUGGUUUCUGCUAAAGAAACCUUUUGUCAGUCCUAGAAACACUAACGAAUAAGGGGUGGGCAAGUUCUGGUGUCAGCCGCCGCGGUAAAACCAGCACCUCAAGUGGUCAGGAUGAUUAUUGGGCCUAAAGCAUCCGUAGCCCGUUUUGUAAGUUUUCGGUUAAAUCCAUACGCUUAACGUAUGGGCUGCCGGGAAUACUGCAUAACUAGGAAGUGGGAGAGGUAGACGGUACUCGGUAGGAAGGGGUAAAAUCCUUUGAUCUAUUGAUGACCACCUGUGGCGAAGGCGGUCUACCAGAACACGUUCGACGGUGAGGGAUGAAAGCUGGGGGAGCAAACCGGAUUAGAUACCCGGGUAGUCCCAGCUGUAAACUAUGCAAACUCAGUGAUGCAUUGGCUUGUGGCCAAUGCAGUGCUGCAGGGAAGCCGUUAAGUUUGCCGCCUGGGAAGUACGUACGCAAGUAUGAAACUUAAAGGAAUUGGCGGGGGAGCAC